This 374-nucleotide ribosomal RNA is filed under the name uncultured organism. Its description in RNAcentral is "partial 16S ribosomal RNA". It matches the Rfam family "Bacterial small subunit ribosomal RNA", at positions 527 to 896 of the family's 1533-position model. The record is from RNAcentral.
GUAGGUGGCAAGCGUUGUCCGGAAUUAUUGGGCGUAAAGCGCGCGCAGGCGGUUCUUUAAGUCUGAUGUGAAAGCCCACGGCUCAACCGUGGAGGGUCAUUGGAAACUGGAGAACUUGAGUACAGAAGAGGAAAGCGGAAUUCCACGUGUAGCGGUGAAAUGCGUAGAGAUGUGGAGGAGCACCAGUGGCGAAGGCGGCUUUCUGGUCUGUAACUGACGCUGAGGCGCGAAAGCGUGGGGAGCAAACAGGGAUUAGAUACCCUGGUAGUCCACGCCGUAAACGAUGAGUGCUAAGUGUUAGGGGGGUUUCCGCCCCCUUAGUGCUGCAGCUAACGCAUUAAGCACUCCGCCUGGGGAGUACGGCCGCAAGGCUG